CAAUAGCACGUCCUGCUAUUAAAGAAACCUUGAUUGCAGUUUGGGGACAAUAUCACAAUAUAUUUAUACUUGAUCCUAAUAUACUGGAGUUCAUUUGUGCUUUGAAAUCCUCUCACAAUCUAAACUGGAUAUCACAACUUUGUUUUAUUCCAAAUAUUGACAGAAAUGAGAGUGUGAGGAUACAUUAGGAUUAGUAAGGUCAUCCUGUCCUGUCUCAUUUGGUUUAUUGAGUAAAGGAGGAGG
Molecule: long non-coding RNA, 243 nt
Organism: Amphimedon queenslandica
Lineage: Eukaryota; Metazoa; Porifera; Demospongiae; Haplosclerida; Niphatidae
Exons: 3
Source: RefSeq, a predicted model, not a curated record